RNAcentral lists this ribosomal RNA (465 nucleotides) under Lancefieldella rimae. RNAcentral's name for it is "bacterial SSU rRNA". It matches the Rfam family "Bacterial small subunit ribosomal RNA", at positions 28 to 503 of the family's 1533-position model. The record is from RNAcentral. Lineage: Bacteria; Bacillati; Actinomycetota; Coriobacteriia; Coriobacteriales; Atopobiaceae.
GAUGAACGCUGGCGGCGCGCCUUAACACAUGCAAGUCGAACGGUUAAAGCACCUUUUAGGUGUGUAUAAAGUGGCGAACGGCUGAGUAACACGUGGGCAACCUGCCCUCCUCUUGGGGAUAGCCUCGGGAAACCGAGGAUAAUACCCGAUACUUCAAUGUGGCCGCAUGACGACAUUGAGAAAGCUUUUGCGGAGAAGGAUGGGCCCGCGGCCUGUUAGCUUGUUGGCGGGGUAGAGGCCUACCAAGGCAAUGAUGGGUAGCUGGGUUGAGAGACCGACCAGCCAGAUUGGGACUGAGACACGGCCCAGACUCCUACGGGAGGCAGCAGUGGGGAAUCUUGCACAAUGGGCGAAAGCCUGAUGCAGCGACGCCGCGUGCGGGACGAAGGCCUUUCGGGUUGUAAACCGCUUUUCAGCAGGGACGAGGCGAAAGUGACGGUACCUGCAGAAGACCCCGGCUAACUA